GACGAACGCUGGCGGCGUGCCUAAUACAUGCAAGUUGAGCGCUGAAGGUUGGUACUUGUACCAACUGGAUGAGCAGCGAACGGGUGAGUAACGCGUGGGGAAUCUGCCUUUGAGCGGGGGACAACAUUUGGAAACGAAUGCUAAUACCGCAUAAAAACUUUAAACACAAGUUUUAAGUUUGAAAGAUGCAAUUGCAUCACUCAAAGAUGAUCCCGCGUUGUAUUAGCUAGUUGGUGAGGUAAAGGCUCACCAAGGCGAUGAUACAUAGCCGACCUGAGAGGGGGAUCGGCCACAUUGGGACUGAGACACGGCCCAAACUCCUACGGGAGGCAGCAGUAGGGAAUCUUCGGCAAUGGACGAAAGUCUGACCGAGCAACGCCGCGUGAGUGAAGAAGGUUUUCGGGUCGUAAAACUCUGUUGGUAGAGAAGAACGUUGGUGAGAGUGGAAAGCUCAUCAAGUGACGGUAACUACCCAGAAAGGGACGGCUAACUACGUG
This 497-nucleotide ribosomal RNA is filed under the name uncultured bacterium. RNAcentral's name for it is "partial 16S ribosomal RNA". It matches the Rfam family "Bacterial small subunit ribosomal RNA", at positions 28 to 507 of the family's 1533-position model. The record is from RNAcentral.